RNAcentral lists this microRNA precursor (87 nucleotides) under Cebus imitator (Panamanian white-faced capuchin). Its description in RNAcentral is "miRNA (ENSCCAG00000003120.1)". The stretch from base 8 to 78 matches the Rfam family "mir-2355 microRNA precursor family". Lineage: Eukaryota; Metazoa; Chordata; Mammalia; Primates; Cebidae. The record is from RNAcentral.
CAGACGUGUCAUCCCCAGAUACAAUGGACAAUAUGCUAUUAUAAUUGUAUGGCAUUGUCCUUACUGUUUGGAGAUAAUACUGCUGAC